Molecule: RNA transcript, 4348 nt
Organism: Malaclemys terrapin pileata
Lineage: Eukaryota; Metazoa; Chordata; Testudines; Emydidae
Gene: PGAP4
Gene name: post-GPI attachment to proteins GalNAc transferase 4
Exons: 4
Source: RefSeq, a predicted model, not a curated record
UGUUGACAUUUGUCCUAGUUAUUUUUCCUCUCAUUCUUUCACACCUCUUCUUUCCCUCUCGUUUUUGGUCUCUCUCUCUGUUUGUUGUUUGUGUGGUCACAUGUUUGGUUUUAGGUGCCUUGUUUAAUCCCACCCUCCUGGCCUGAGAGAGAGGAGGAGGGGAACUGCAGGCGAGAAGUGAGCAACAAGAUAACAUGGAUAGAAGAGGCAAGAAGCAUGGAGGGUGGAAUAUUGUGCUGCUAGGGAACAUUGGAAAGGAAAGGGGAGACACCCAGGAUUUACAUAAAGCCAGCGGCUCUGGUUUUCAGGAUUACUAGCUCUUUCCUUCUCUACAUGCUGGGCAAGAAUCCAGAUGGGAAAACGGGUAAUUCCUCCUUCCUGUAUUUUCCAGCCCAGCUUCUGUGCUGUUUUUCCGUUAUGGCUUUUGCUGCUAUGGUCGGCUGCAUUGGUUGGGCCUCACUUAUGUUGCACCACUGAUGGCUUGCUACUCCAAGCAGAAGCAGAGGAGUGAAUGAAUUGGGGCAUGAGCACAGGGAGGCCACACCCUGUAUCCAGCAGCCAUGCUCCUCCGAGGACUGCGGCUCUAUGGGAAGUGGUGCCGUUUUUCCAGUCCCAUUACUCAGCUCCUUACCUUAACUAUGGUGACAUUUGGCGUGUUGGCUCCCUUGAUUUGCCACCGGCUCCUCCACUCCUAUUUUUACUUACGCCGCUGGCAUCUGAACCCCAUGAGCCAGGAUUUCCUGAAGCAGAACGAGGGGGAUGGCCAGACUGCCCUCCGUUACUUUGAGGACCUGCGGACUCCUAACUCCUCAGAGAUCUCAGGCGACAAGGCCCUCAGACCAUGGCUGCUCAUCACCAUCAUCACCGUGCAGAGGCGGAAUGAGUUCCACUAUGUCCUACAGGUGGCUUCCCGUUUCCACCGCCUCCUCCAGCAGUGUGGCCCUCGCUGCCGGAGCCACCAGGUCUUUCUCUGUAACGUGGAGCAGGACCCGGGCAGCCACCAGGAUGCCAGGCUGUUGGGUAACUUCUUUGCAAUGGUCAGCCGCUACAAAAACUGGGAAGACCCCGAUGCCGCAGUGAACCAGUUUGAGAAGGAGAAGCGAGACUAUGCCUUCUGCCUGGAGCAGUCGCUCUUGGCCUACAGUCCAGAGUACGUCCUUCUGGUGGAAGACGAUGCUGUUCCCGAAGAGGAGAUAUUCCCUGUCCUGCAGCACCUGCUGCUGGCCCGGUUCUCAAAGCCACACCUCAAAGAUGCCCUCUACCUGAAGUUGUACCAUCCUGAGCGGCUUCAGCGCUAUAUCAACCCAGAGCCCAUGAGGAUCCUGGAGUGGCUCGGCCUGGGCAUGUUUCUGGGCCCCCUGCUGAGCUUUCUGUACUCCUGGGUGUCUGGCCGCCCAAGCCUUACCUGGCCCAUUGUCCUGUUCUUUGCCUUGUACAGCAUGGCACUAGCAGAGCUGGUGGGUCGCCACUACCUGCUGGAGCUGCGCCGGCUGGCCCCUGUGCUCUACAACGUGGUGCCGGUCACCGAGUGCUGCACGCCCGCCAUGCUGUUCUCCGCCCCUUCCGCCCACCGUGUCUUGGGUUACCUUCAAGAGCUGCACUGCCGUCGGGGCUUUGCCAAAGACACUGCUCUCUACUCCCUGUUGCGCACCAAGGGUGAAAGGGCCUACGUGGUGGAGCCCAAUCUGGUCAGGCACGUGGGGAUGUUUUCCAGCCUCAGGCCAAAUGACAGCCCUAAGCUACUGUGACCCACCAAGAAAUGCCUUUAUGGAAAGACUGUGAGCCAAGAGAGCCUUGUCCUUGGACAGACAUAUCAGGUGUGACUCCAGAUGUCAUGCCACUUGCAACUGUGCCCAGAACUACCAGCACCACCUAGUGGAGGGAAAGGAACUUUUAAAAAAAAAGUUUACUUAAACCUAUAGUUACAUGAUUUAUUUUAUAAUGAAGAAGUGAAAGGAGGGUGGAGGUUUUCAGGGAAGGGGAGGGUUUGCUACUAUCCUUAGUCAUUUUUGGGGGGAGACCCAAACACACACACACACCAUUUGCACGUGAAUGUGUCUCCUACAGCAGUAUCCAACAAACCAGUCUCUAGUAUCACAGACCCGAGACCAAUGCCACUCCUGUGGUCACAUAUGUCUCGGUCUCAAGGCACUGGAAAUGCUAGCCAGGGUGAGUGCAUCAGGCACAAGCUGACCUAGGAGGAAAUAUGGAGCUGGAGAAUAGCCCUUGUUUCCCCCAACCUUCUCCAUAGCUUACCCCGAUGAUCUGUUCAUCUCCUCAAAUAAAAACAUGAAGAGAUCUUUACAAGAGGCACGAUGCAUAUAACGAGCCCCUUACCCCACAUUCUGCAUAUGGUUCUGGGAACAUGUUUCAAGCUGCUUCAGCACCUCCAGGUCUUCUCCUUUGUGGGUAACACGCCUCUUCCCCCAAAGCUCUCUUUUCACCUUGGAGCAGAGGAUCUGAAACAAAGUCCAUGUUCUUCCCCAUUGCUUCAGCUGGGGUCCCCUAUGGAGCCAAGAACACUAAAACCAAACAACCUCCCGCUCGCUGUAUGUGGCUUGGAUUCGCUGGCCCAUGCACAUACUCUCUCACACACACACAGCCUCCCAUCAGAACAACCUUUGAGAUUGCACAUACAGCUACCUCUCAUAGGUGAGGAAGAGCAGAUUCCCCAUUUAGGCUCUGAUCCUGUAUCACCGGGAGCUCACUCAUUAGCUUUAUUGAGUGCAAGCCCUUAAAACUGGCCCUAGACAGAUUGCCACCUAUCCUGAUUUUCCAUGGAUUCCACCUGCAGCAUGGAGAAGCUCCAGUUUGCCUUGGGCAGCCCAAUGAAUGAUCCAGCAUGAUCAUGUUAUUUACGGGAAAGGUGAAGGAACAGUUGCAGCAGCAUGGUGUCACAGUGCACUUAUCUUGCCUCAGCCUGCAGUUAGAUAUAGCUGACAGCUGCAGAAGACACAGUUCACUACUCCUACCAUGAAUAUCUGGGCAUGGUCAGAUGAGCAAGUUUCAGUAAUGUGUCAUAUUGAAGGGGCCACUUCUAAACAGACACGUUAAAUAACUAAUCUUCUGAUCUGAACUGCCGGGGAGUUUGGAUGGUUUCCAAGAGUUGGCUGCUUUCUAGCAGAACUGUUCUGGGUGCAUUGAAAACCGAAACCACAUGAGAAAUAAGAUCUUGGGGAUUGUUACAAAUUCAAAACUGCCUUUGAAAGGUUUGUACCCCAUGGCCCUGAUCUACAGCCCAUUGCAGUCAAUGAGAGUCUUUUUAUCAAUUUUAGGGUGCUUUGGCCCAGGCGCUAUAUGAGGAGACCUACACCCAGUUUUGAGUGGCAUUUGGGUGAAACUGUGUGCAAAUCACAAAUUUUCCUGGCUUCAGAAUGAACCAAGUGAAACAGUUUUGGGGGGGAAAAAGAGUCCCACUUUCAGUUUUCUUUCUUUCAUUUGUCAGAGCCUGGAACUCAUGGUAAAACUAGGAGUAGUAAGGGUAGAUGUGUGUCUGUGUGUGAACCCAUGUGGACUGAAACCAAAGAAAAUAUUUGCACAAGCCCCCUAAGAAGUAAGUUUCACACAAAAACGACGAGGAGUCCUUGUGGCACCUUAGAGACUGAUACAUUUAUUUGGGCAUAAGCUUUCGUGGGCUAUAGUUCAUGUUCAGGCUGUGAGGGGUAACUGACUUGUAAAGUGCUCAGCACAAAGGAGAUAGGCAGUCAGUCACAGGGUGUCACUAGAGCACAGAACAAUGCCAGCUCAAGCACCUGAACUUUGCCUCUUGCUAGAUCAGCUGGGAUUCUUUUAGAGGAUCCCUGUUGUUUGCACAAGGGCAUGCCAUGCCUUGCAUGCACAAGGGCAUGGACUGUAAGAGCUGACAAAACAUUACAUUUUAUUUCUACACAGCAGUCACCAGCAUCCAUCAGGACUGAUGCUGAAACCUGUUCCCAGACUGAGUGCAGCUGGUAUCUGGCUUCCCCGUGUCUCCCUCGCAGAGAGCCACGCACACAAAUAUCUUCUCGAUAGCGACAAACCAGCUGGACUUUGAGACAGUUGAGCAAGACCCUAAGGCACAGAAAUCAGCUACAUGGCAGCUGUCCCCAAUGUGAGAGGAGAGAUGAAAGACGUGUAUUCCACUUAGGUGUGUAUGUGCCACGCACACCAAAGCUGGAGAACUUUGCCUAGUAGUACCUGUGCACACCUGAGUAGAAUAAACAUCUCAAAGAACAAAAGUUAUGGUGCAAGUAAGUAACCGUCUUUUUAUCAUCAUUGGGCCAGAUCCCCAGCUGGCUCUUACCCAUCAAGGAGCACACUAGCUUUCUAGAGUUUGCUCCAGCCUCUACACCGUAAGCACACAUUUCCC